GAUGAAGAACGUAGCGAAAUGCGAUACGUAAUGUGAAUUGCAGAAUUCAGUGAAUCAUCGAGUCUUUGAACGCACAUUGCGCCCCCUGGUAUUCCGGGGGGCAUGCCUGUCCGAGCGUCAUUGCUGCCCUCAAGCACGGCUUGUGUGUUGGGCCUCCGUCCUCCUCCCGGGGGACGGGCCCGAAAGGCAGCGGCGGCACCGCGUCCGGUCCUCGAGCGUAUGGGGCUUCGUCACCCGCUCUUGUAGGCCCGGCCGGCGCUUGCCGACACAUCAAUCUUUUUUCCAGGUUGACCUCGGAUCAGGUACGGAUACCCGCUGAACUUAAGCAUAUCAAUAAGCGGAGGA
This 345-nucleotide unclassified non-coding RNA is filed under the name soil metagenome. Its description in RNAcentral is "partial contains 5.8S ribosomal RNA, internal transcribed spacer 2, and large subunit ribosomal RNA". The stretch from base 1 to 120 matches the Rfam family "5.8S ribosomal RNA", at positions 35 to 154 of the family's 154-position model. The record is from RNAcentral.